AGAAUCAACGCUGGCGGCGUGCCUAACACAUGCAAGUCGCACGAGAAAGGGGAGCAAUCCCUGAGUAAAGUGGCGCACGGGUGAGUAACACGUGAAUAAUCUACCUCCGAGUGGGGAAUAACUGAGAGAAAUCUUAGCUAAUACCGCAUAACACUUACGAGUCAAAGCAGCAAUGCGCUUGGAGAGGAGUUCGCGGCAGAUUAGUUAGUUGGCGGGGUAAUGGCCCACCAAGACGAUGAUCUGUAUCCGGCCUGAGAGGGCGCACGGACACACUGGAACUGAAACACGGUCCAGACUCCUACGGGAGGCAGCAGUGGGGAAUUUUGCGCAAUGGGGGAACCCUGACGCAGCAACGCCGCGUGGAGGAUGAAAUCCCUUGGGAUGUAAACUCCUUUCGAUCGGGAAGAUAAUGACGGUACCGAGAGAAGAAGCCCCGGCUAACUUCGUGCCAGCAGCCGC
RNAcentral lists this ribosomal RNA (459 nucleotides) under uncultured bacterium. RNAcentral describes it as "SSU rRNA". It matches the Rfam family "Bacterial small subunit ribosomal RNA", at positions 26 to 518 of the family's 1533-position model. The record is from RNAcentral.